AAAUCGGCGCUAAUACCUCAUAAUGCAGCGGACCGCAUGGGUAUGUUGUUAAAGGUUUACCGCCUUGGGAUAGGCUUGCGUCUGAUUAGCUAGUUGGUGUGGUAACGGCACACCAAGGCUACGAUCAGUAACUGGUCUGAGAGGAUGAUCAGUCACACUGGAACUGAGACACGGUCCAGACUCCUACGGAGGCAGCAGUGAGGAAUAUUGGGCAAUGCACGAAAGUGUGACCCAGCAACGCCGCGUGGAGGAUGAAGGUAUUCUAUAUCGUAAACUCCUGUGAGAGCAGACGAAAGACAGAUUAUUAAUUUGGAUGACUGUAUGCUCAGAGGAAGCCCCGGCUAACUACGUG
This 352-nucleotide ribosomal RNA is filed under the name uncultured bacterium. RNAcentral describes it as "bacterial SSU rRNA". It matches the Rfam family "Bacterial small subunit ribosomal RNA", at positions 154 to 507 of the family's 1533-position model. The record is from RNAcentral.